UUUUUUUUUUUUUUUUUUUUAAGAUUUUAUUUAUAUAUAUAGUUAAGAGAGAGAACAGCAGGAUGCAGUGCAGGAGGAAGGGCAGGGGGAGGCACAGGGGGAGAAGCCGACUCCCCGCUGAACAGGGAGCCGGUGGUUUUGAUCCCAGGACCUUGGGAUCAUGACCUGAGCCAAAGGCAGACGCUUAACAGACUGAGCCACCCAGAUGCCCCUCGAAGGCUUUUUAUCUUGAGGAAGAAGAGAAGUUGAGAAGGCUGUGAGGUGAGAGGAAAACCAGAGCAUGGCCCGGUGAGGAAGUGUCUCAACCAGGAGGGCACAAUCAACUGUGAAGCUACGAAUGCCGGGUUAACUUACUACCCACAUCUUUCCCAGACCUGGGAAACACAGCCGGUAGCAGGCUCAGCAGCCAGAAGAGUUCAUCAGAGUCUCAGUAGGCACAUAUAAACUUACAGAUCACAGUGGCUAAGUGUUAAGGACCCUGGAGCCAAACUACCUCAAGUUGAAUCUGGGCUCCAUUUCUUUCUAGUUGUGAGCUGUGUAAUCGUGGGCAAAUCAUUUAACCUGUGAUUUGGUUUCCCCACCUGUAAUACAGGGAUGAUAACAGUACUUGCUUCCUCUGGUUGUCAUGAUUAAAUGUCAAUACUCAUAAAGGACUAAAUAUACUUGGCAUAAAUAUAUAAAUAUACUUGGCAUAAAGUAACCAUCACAUCUGUUAAAAAAAGAGAAAUCUCCCUGUAAUGUUAAAGAUAGGGAAGGACAACUUGGCUUAUAAAGUACUAACUUGCAUUCUCAAGAAGUGGGCACUAGACUUAUGUAAUUGAAUUAAUCAGCAGGACUGAUAGGAUAAUUCUAUUCUGAUUAAAAAAAACAGCAGGAAAUAAACUGUGGUUGGAACAUGUCUAGUUCUUGGCUAUAGAGUACUGAAUUUAGGAUAUAUUUUCCUUAUCAAGUUAUAUUUCAAUUGUCAUAAGGAAUGUCCUGUUAAAUGCUUAUUGGUUCAGAACACUAACCUAUUACUCUUUUGCAGUUGGAUUAUACCCUUUUCUCCUUCCAAUCUAAAAUAACCUCAGAUGAAAAGUGACAAUAAUAAAUAAACACUUUAUCCACAUUAAGAAAUAGAAUCCUUUUCUUGGGACUGGGUAUUACAAAGAAUCAAACAAAUAACUUUUUGUAUGAAAUACUGAAGUAGGCGCUUUGAAGGAUUCAUACACGUUUCUGGCUCUUAUUAGUGUGGAAGAUAAAAUGCACAAAAUGAGGUGAUUACACAAUGGGAGUAUAUGGCUAAGGAAUGAUAUGGUAAGGAUUGUAAGAUAUGAUGGAACUCAAUUCUGGUUGUAAAAGUUUCAUGAACGAAGUGAGAUUUUACCUUGGGUAUACUUUAAGGUGUGCAAAGACUCAAUUUAUCUCUGGUGUGAACUUCCUUAGGUAUUUACUAGAGAAAGUGCUUCAGCAAUGAAGGAUAACUAAUAGGAAGAUACUAGAUCCAUAAAACUAAGGCCUCGGGAUCCCUGGGUGGCGCAGUGGUUUGGCGCCUGCCUUUGGCCCAGGGCGCGAUCCUGGAGACCCGGGAUCAAGUCCCACGUCGGGCUCCCGGUGCAUGGAGCCUGCUUCUCCCUCUGCCUGUGUCUCUACCUCUCUUUUUCUCUCUCUCUGUGACUAUCGUAAAUAAAUAAAAAAAAUAUAGUGCUCUAUGUCCACUUACUAACACCUCUGGGGCUGCCUCUCCCUCUUUUCCUAUGCUGGGCCCCCACCCCUCCGGGUAGGAAGCCUCUACAUUCCCCCUGGUAUCCUGCUUCAUAGUAUUCAUAUAGUUGGUAAUCCUUUGGUAAUCUCUCUCUCUCUCUGUGUGACUAUCAUAAAUAAAUAAAAAUUAAAAAAAAAAAACUAAGGCCUCAAUAUAAGUGACCAGCAAAGGGAAGUGCCAGGAUGACGGCUCUUCAGCAGGACUAGUCAUACACACAGAGUGGAGGAAGAGAACAGGGGAGUGGGAUCCCUAGAUGGCGCAGCGGUUUGGCGCCUGCCUUUGGCCCAGGGCGCAAUCCUGGAGACCUGGGAUCGAAUCCCACGUCGGGCUCCUGGUGCAUGGAGCCUGCUUCUCCCUCUGCCUGUGUCUCUGCCUUUCUCUCGCUCUUUCUCUCUGUGACUAUCAUGAAUAAAUAAAUAAAACCUUUAAAAAAACAAAAACAGGGGAGUGAGGGGGUAAAUGGAACUGAUGGGAUUUGAUGUGUUGCAGUGCUUCAUUUGAUGUGACAGAUGUGAGGUAUUGGAUUCUCUGGAGCAUUUGGAAAAAUAACAAAUAAGAAACAAGCAAUAGGUGAAUCAAAAACACCACUACCAACAAAGACAAAUGGAAGAACAGCAUACUUAGCUUGGGGCAGGGGUUAGGUGUUAAAAAAAAAUAUAUUACAUUACUCAUCUCAACAGUGAGUCAUAGGUAGUCAUGAUAAGUACCGCUGACUUUAUCCAAAAAUUAUUACACAACUAUUUGCAGAAUGGGGUAGAAAGAGCAGUAAGAGACUCCUCACUACCCUCAACUCCCUCCUCCUAACUCCUCAACUACCCUAAUUCUGAAGAUGUCUAUGCCAUUAAAAAAAAACAGCAACGUGUAAUUUAGAAAUAGGGAGGUACAUUCCAGCAGGAGCCGAAAAAAGUUGGAAGCAUUGCCCCGAGGACUGAAAUUUGGGGGAGGGUUUUGGCGAGUAGACCAGUUUUUCAUUGCGGGCCUGGAGAAAAGGCGUUAUGUAGAAAAACAAAACAUACUGAUUAAAAAAAUUAGAGGUGGAUGUGGGGUGCCUGGGUGGCUCAGUCGGUUAAACCACGGACUCUUGAUUUUGGCUCAGGUCAUCAUCUCAGGGUUGUGAGAUCAUACCUGUCAGGCUCCACACUGGGUGUGCAGCCUGCUUGAGAUUCUCUCUCUCUCCCUCUACUUCUCUAAAAAAUAAAUUAACUAAAGAGGUAGACAAAAAAAAAACCCAAAAGAUUUUGAGAAGUGGUCUUAUACAGGGGCCGGAUGAAAUAGGCGAUGAGAGCUCUUUCAUUCAUAGAAUAUUUAUGAAGCACUCUUUUGAGCCAGGCACGAGGCUAGGCCCCAGGAAUACAAGAGGGAACGAAGACAUAUAUGGUCCCUGCCCUCCGGACCUUAUGUUUACUAGAGCAAAUAGACAAUGGGAAAAAAUAAGUAAAUAAUGAAAGAAGUACAGAUUAUACUGAUGUGAUUAGAAAAGGCUAUUGUGCUAGAAAACGGUGGUGAGGCAUCUCCCAUCAGGUGGGAGCUGUUUAAAGGCAGGGAAGAGAGUAUAAAGGGUAUAAUCCAUAACCUCAUCCCGAGGAAUUCCAACAUUUGAAAGGAGCCAAUAAAAAGCUGCAGAGGCGGGGCCUGUAAGGCACAGCAGGAAAGUCUUAUCUUCCUCAGCAAAACCCUAUCUUUUUUUUCUUUUUCCUCAGCAAAACCCUUUUUUUUCCUUUUUCCUCAGCAAAACCCUUUUUUUUCUUUUUCCUCAGCAAAACCCUAUCUUUUUUGUUUUUUCCUCAGCAAAACCCUAUCUUUUUUGUCUUUUUCCUCAGCAAAACCUUUUUUUCUUUUUCCUCAGCAAAACCCUUUUUUUUCCUCAGCAAAACCCUAUCUUUUUUUCUUUUUCCUCAGCAAAACCCUUUUUUCCUUUUCCUCAGCAAAACCCUUUUUUGUUUUUCUUCAGCAAAACCCUUUUUUUUUCCUCAGCAAAACCCUUUUUUUCUUUUUCCUCAGCAAAACCCUAUCUUUUUUGUUUUUCCUCAGCAAAACCCUAUCUUUUUUUUCUUUUUCCUCAGCAAAACCCUAUUUUUUUUUCUUUUUCCUCAGCAAAACCUUUUUUUUUCUCAGCAAAACCCUAUUUUUUUUUUUUUGUCAUUUUUCUAAAACUGCACCACAGUUUGCAUUUAUUUUGACAAGCUGCGUGACAUUCUUGGUUUUCAGAUGUUUGCAGCAGUUCUGGAAAUAACUGGACGCUCAUCCUCGAAAACCCAAUUUACGAUUACCUAGAAAGCCAUUUACACAUCCCUCCGGUGAGUUAUUCCAGGGUAGCCGCGAUCUCUGUUGGAAGCAUAGCCACUGGGGGGUCCCCCUCCCCAUCUCUGC
Molecule: long non-coding RNA, 4114 nt
Filed under: Canis lupus familiaris (dog)
Lineage: Eukaryota; Metazoa; Chordata; Mammalia; Carnivora; Canidae
Description: lncRNA (ENSCAFG00000050323.1)
Source: RNAcentral